GCCUAGCCCUAAAUCUUGGCACUUCCCCUACUAAAGUGCCCGCCCGAGAACUACGAGCACAAACGCUUAAAACUCUAAGGACUUGGCGGUGCCCCAAACCCACCUAGAGGAGCCUGUUCUAUAAUCGAUAACCCACGAUUCACCCGACCGCCCCUUGCCUAAAACAGCCUACAUACCGCCGUCGUCAGCCCACCUUCGUGAAAGAACAACAGUGAGCACAAUAGCCUCGCCCGCUAACAAGACAGGUCAAGGUAUAGCUCAUGGGGUGGAAGAAAUGGGCUACAUUUUCUGAAACAGAAAACAACGAAAGAGGACGUGAAACCGUCCCCAAAAGGCGGAUUUAGCAGUAAAGCGGGACAAUAGAGCCCCCUUUAAACCGGCCCUGAGGCACGU
RNAcentral lists this ribosomal RNA (393 nucleotides) under Phalacrocorax neglectus (Bank cormorant). RNAcentral describes it as "partial 12S small subunit ribosomal RNA". It matches the Rfam family "Bacterial small subunit ribosomal RNA", at positions 794 to 1384 of the family's 1533-position model. The record is from RNAcentral. Lineage: Eukaryota; Metazoa; Chordata; Aves; Suliformes; Phalacrocoracidae.